This 68-nucleotide transfer RNA is filed under the name Urocitellus parryii (Arctic ground squirrel). RNAcentral's name for it is "Spermophilus parryii (Arctic ground squirrel) tRNA". It matches the Rfam family "tRNA". Rfam says of the family: Transfer RNA (tRNA) molecules are approximately 80 nucleotides in length. Their secondary structure includes four short double-helical elements and three loops (D, anti-codon, and T loops). The record is from Rfam by way of RNAcentral. Lineage: Eukaryota; Metazoa; Chordata; Mammalia; Rodentia; Sciuridae. RNAcentral also lists the same sequence under 1 other name.
GGGGUUGUGGCUCAGUGGUAGAGUGCUCACCUAGCAUGUGCGAGCCCUGAGUUCGAUCCUUAGCACCA